This 465-nucleotide long non-coding RNA is filed under the name Salvia miltiorrhiza (redroot sage). RNAcentral's name for it is "long non-coding RNA (SMIL_LNC006143)". Lineage: Eukaryota; Viridiplantae; Streptophyta; Magnoliopsida; Lamiales; Lamiaceae. The record is from RNAcentral.
AAAAUUCUGCAGUUGCUUACAUCUGAGGAAGGGACAAAACUUCAGCUAGAAAUAGCCGUAUCAGCUUCUGAUAUUAAAGAAAAGUACAAGGUAUGAGCCCUGAUAUCUUGUUGAAGCUCAUGCUUCUUGCCAAGUGGUCCAUGAUUCUCUUUCUCGUUAGACCCAAUGUUUCUAAGCACAAAAUGUUCAAAAUAGCUUAGCCAGUAGUUCUUUGCUUCGAAGUUUAAGUUACAUGGCAUUAGUAAAACUUGUUUGCCUUUCUAAUUAUUACUUGUUGUUUGCUUUUUCAGGACGAAUGCAAACGAGUGUCAAAAGAGGAACAAGUUUUGAGAUUAGAUUUGUCAAAUAAGUUUCAAGAUGUUUUCUGAUAUAUUGUAAAGCUCCUGCCCAGUUACGAGUAUUUUGUGAUCUGGAGAUAAUGUAUGAAUAUUUUGGAUGUUAUAUAAUAUAUGUUACCGAUGUCAA